AGUUGCCACAGUGUCUCAUCUCCUGGUUAAGUGGAUAUGUUUAUGAAUAAGAGCUUUUCCAUGAAGGUAAGGAGAAGUUACAUUGUGGGAGUCUCUGUUGUGUGCAUCAGGGAAGAAAAUGUAGUGUAGCUUUUGACUAGCCAUUGGGGAGAUAGAGCAGCAAGUGACGACUCCUUCCUUUUCCUACACUUCUGCAAAGCUGUUGCACGUGUGUUCUGCCCUUCAUGACUUCCUCUGGGGAUGGGCUUUCAAAGACUGUUGCUGCCUGCCCUGCUCCCUGCAGGCCUGCCCUGCUCCCUGCAGCCCUGCCCUGGAGGACUGCUUUCUGACCAUGAAGAGCUAGGAGCUUUGCUAAUGCAUCUGCUGCUUCUUGAGUAGCCUGACCUCAGGCCUUGAAGGACGCUCACCUGUACAACUUCCCUGCAAACAGCCAAAACUUUUCCCCGCGUCUCAUUACAGCUUUACAAAAGCCUGGAUAACAGAAAUGAUUACUUUGCUGCUUGAUAUGGAAAAGCUAUUGACAGCGGGGCUGUGAAAAGCUGAACGCUGCAGUGUGGGACUCUGGCUGGUCCUCAGGGUGGAUAAGCCCACCUAGAGAGAAACCCCAUGACCUGGUGCUUCCUGGCCAUGCAGCAUGCUCAUUGAAGUGGUCAAGUAAGGAGAUUCCCAGGGCUCAAUUUCUGCUCAUUAUGAAGUUGUGAGAUGGCUCUGGGCUUGAAGUCUGCUCAUAGUGUGUAUCCUGAAUGUGCUUGUGUUCCGUGCUCUGUAGAGUA
Pezoporus flaviventris is the source of this 773-nucleotide long non-coding RNA. RefSeq lists it as uncharacterized. Lineage: Eukaryota; Metazoa; Chordata; Aves; Psittaciformes; Psittacidae. The transcript is spliced from 3 exons. The record is from RefSeq and is a predicted model, not a curated record.